Phragmites australis (common reed) is the source of this 1154-nucleotide long non-coding RNA. RefSeq lists it as uncharacterized. The record is from RefSeq and is a predicted model, not a curated record. NCBI's taxonomy places the organism in Eukaryota, Viridiplantae, Streptophyta, Magnoliopsida, Poales, Poaceae. The transcript has 3 exons.
UUUCCAGGGUUCGGCAGCCUAGGCGGAGACCCCCCAAAAAAAGGCCGACCACCUCGGGAGUGAGGCGGGCCCUGAGCACGGCGCACGAGCUAGCGGGUCGCAGUGUUUCCCACAGACGAGGGCCGACAUCGAGCGUGCAGCCUGCCUCUUCGCGCUUUCCCCGCCCGCACGGAGCAGACGAGAUGGCCGCUCGGAGCUCCAUGGCCGCCACCGCGUCCACCCCCAUCUCACGUCUCGUCUCCUACCUCCUCCUCCUCCUUGUUUGGGCGCGGGGAGUGGAGGAUGGAGAGCUUUGGAAGGCUGGCGGGGCAUGGGGUGGACGCGGUCUGAGCACCGAGGCGGGCUCCUCGGGGGUGGGUGGCCGGACCGGAGUAAGGUUGCGGCCGCGUGCGGCGGAUCCGGCGCGAAUGCGCGAGCUCUGGCUCCGGCGACGACCGGCGGCAAAUGGACUGCCAGCUCUCCCCUCCAAGUUUCGCUGCCGGAUAUUCCCCUUCGCCGCCCCCUCCUACUCCUUUCUUAAGAUGUUGCUCAGCUCAACGGUGGUCGGGCUUGGGUCGCAGGCAGUGGUCGGACGGCGGCGAGCUGGAGCCCAAAUGGGUGGCCGCCACGGACGAAGGGGUCAUCGAGGGCUUGGAAGGCCGGAGCAGGUUUUUCGGCACAGAACAGUUGGUGGGCUGACCUAAGGCACCCGGAUAGAUUACUUCUAUGCAGGGAUUUUAAUUUUAUUUUACAAUUUUUUAUUUAUUCAUCGGCAAAAGGAUAGAAAAUUGUGAAAGUUCAUCAAAAUUUUGAUUAUUUUUCAUCAUUUACUUGUGAGUCUCACGUGGUAGUGAAAUAAAAUUCUAAAAUUAGAUAUCUCAUCCCCUACGAAAUUCCCAAAAAUUCAAUCCCUGCUUCUACGGGAGAAGCUUCGCUACUUUUACUCACUAUUUCUGAAUUUCACUUGGCUCAGUGCUCCAUCGAUUUCACUCCAUCUUCCAUUCUCGAUCUGGUUCUUGUUCUUGAGUUUGAGCACUUCUCCAAAGGGAGAAGAAACACAAGACCAGUUGACAAACAUGAAGCAAAUGCAGUGGGCGCUGCUGUCGUCGUUGAGCACCUUCCACGCCAGCGCCUUCUCGUACGACACCGGCCGGCCCAGGCUCGACACGCACAGC